GGGCCUGUGGUCUAGUGUCCAAUAGAUUGCAAUUAAUUUUAGCAUAUCGCGGCUAGAAGCUAUGACGUCGCCUCGACAAGGCGGAGAUCGAGUGUUCAAAUCACUCCAGGCCCA
Molecule: transfer RNA, 114 nt
Filed under: Nanobdellota archaeon
Lineage: Archaea; Nanobdellati; Nanobdellota
Description: tRNA-Val
Rfam family: tRNA
About the family: Transfer RNA (tRNA) molecules are approximately 80 nucleotides in length. Their secondary structure includes four short double-helical elements and three loops (D, anti-codon, and T loops).
Source: RNAcentral